This is a transfer RNA of Halococcus morrhuae DSM 1307, 75 nucleotides long. It matches the Rfam family "tRNA". From Rfam's summary of the family: Transfer RNA (tRNA) molecules are approximately 80 nucleotides in length. NCBI's taxonomy places the organism in Archaea, Methanobacteriati, Methanobacteriota, Halobacteria, Halobacteriales, Halococcaceae. The record is from Rfam.
GCUCGGUUGGUGUAGUCCGGCCAAUCAUUUCGGCCUUUCGAGCCGAUGACCGGGGUUCGAAUCCCCGACCGAGCA